Molecule: unclassified non-coding RNA, 372 nt
Filed under: uncultured Gammaproteobacteria bacterium
Lineage: Bacteria; Pseudomonadati; Pseudomonadota; Gammaproteobacteria
Description: contains 16S-23S intergenic spacer region
Source: RNAcentral
UCCGGCUUGUCACCGGCAGUCUCUUUAGAGUGCUCUUGCGUAGCAACUAAAGACAAGGGUUGCGCUCGUUGCGGGACUUAACCCAACAUCUCACGACACGAGCUGACGACAGCCAUGCAGCACCUGUGUAUCGAUUCUCUUUCGAGCACCAAGCCAUCUCUGGCAAGUUUCGACCAUGUCAAGGGUAGGUAAGGUUUUUCGCGUUGCAUCGAAUUAAUCCACAUCAUCCACCGCUUGUGCGGGUCCCCGUCAAUUCCUUUGAGUUUUAAUCUUGCGACCGUACUCCCCAGGCGGUCAACUUCACGCGUUAGCUUCGUUACUGAGAAAAUGAAUCCCCAACAACUAGUUGACAUCGUUUAGGGCGUGGACUAC